AGUUAGCCUGCUCGCGAUAGCGGUGUGUCAGACACUUCAGUAUCGACUGACAUUCCGCUAUCGCGAGCAGGCUCACU
This 77-nucleotide non-coding RNA is filed under the name Pseudomonas sp. 478. The record is from RNAcentral. Lineage: Bacteria; Pseudomonadati; Pseudomonadota; Gammaproteobacteria; Pseudomonadales; Pseudomonadaceae.